UAAGCUUCGGGUAGGUGCAAAUAACCCUUGAUCCGGAGAUUUCCGAAUGGGACAACCUAGCCGUCUGAAGGACGGUUACUCAAUCUUCAAGGUUGAGAGCUAACGCAGGGAACUGAAACAUCUUAGUACCUGUAGGAAGAGAAAAUAAAUGAAUGAUUCCCCUAGUAGUGGCGAGCGAACGGGGAACAGCCCAAACCGUUGACGUCGCAAGGCGCCAGCGGGGUUGUAGGACCGCGACAUUGUAUGCAAAUCGUGAACAGAACACUUUGGAAAAUGUGACCAUAGACGGUGAUAGUCCAGUAUGUGAAGCGAAAU
RNAcentral lists this ribosomal RNA (315 nucleotides) under Segatella copri. RNAcentral's name for it is "partial 23S ribosomal RNA". It matches the Rfam family "Bacterial large subunit ribosomal RNA", at positions 72 to 391 of the family's 2925-position model. Lineage: Bacteria; Pseudomonadati; Bacteroidota; Bacteroidia; Bacteroidales; Prevotellaceae. The record is from RNAcentral.